GGAAAAGUGGCCGAGUGGUUGAAGGCGUUCGCCUGGAAAGCGGAUAUACGUUAGUAGCGUAUCGAGGGUUCGAAUCCCUCCUUUUCCGCCA
This 91-nucleotide transfer RNA is filed under the name Ignatzschineria indica. RNAcentral describes it as "tRNA-Ser". It matches the Rfam family "tRNA". From Rfam's summary of the family: Transfer RNA (tRNA) molecules are approximately 80 nucleotides in length. Their secondary structure includes four short double-helical elements and three loops (D, anti-codon, and T loops). RNAcentral also lists the same sequence under 2 other names. The record is from RNAcentral. Lineage: Bacteria; Pseudomonadati; Pseudomonadota; Gammaproteobacteria; Cardiobacteriales; Ignatzschineriaceae.